This 65-nucleotide transfer RNA is filed under the name Allacma fusca. RNAcentral's name for it is "tRNA-Tyr". The record is from RNAcentral. Lineage: Eukaryota; Metazoa; Arthropoda; Collembola; Symphypleona; Sminthuridae.
AAUAAGAUGUCUGAUUAAGGUGUUAAACUGUAAAUUUAAUUAUGGGCAUAAUAGCUCUCUUGUUA